This 459-nucleotide long non-coding RNA is filed under the name Crocodylus porosus (Australian saltwater crocodile). Its description in RNAcentral is "lncRNA (ENSCPRG00005004733.1)". Lineage: Eukaryota; Metazoa; Chordata; Crocodylia; Crocodylidae. The record is from RNAcentral.
UCCCAUCUGGUCAGCAGCAAGAGGCAGAAGGCAAAACCCGUGGCAUAUUUAAAACCGUGGUUUUUACCCAGGCUAAUAGGCUGUCUCUACCAAUCAGCGGUGGAGGUGUGCAGAGGGGGAACUCCAAGUUUAAAAGCAUUGUCAUGCUGCAACCUGGGCCCGCAAUUUAAACCAGGCCUUAAUGAUCAGAUUUAAUUCUAAUCCUAGCCCUUUCAGAAAUAGUCUCUCAGCUAACUUACCUGAAAGACUUACCUGCAAGCCAGCAGACUUCAUGAUGCAUACAUAUUCUCAGUCCAUCUUUCAAAACAACCAGUCAGAAGUCAGGAACUGCUGUAUUUCUGGAGGCCAGAUCCGGAGGACAGAUCAUUGCAGUCUACAAGAGAAGAAAGCAGAUGGAAAUUAUGGUCUGAAAGCUUUUGAAGUUGGAAUAGGCAAUGAUGCAUGAACCAUAAAGUGAAG